GGAGGGGUGUCUGAGCGGCCGAAAGAACUGGUCUUGAAAACCAGCGUCGGGUUAAACCGACCGUGGGUUCGAAUCCCACCCCCUCCGCCA
This 90-nucleotide transfer RNA is filed under the name Pseudomonadales bacterium. RNAcentral's name for it is "tRNA-Ser". It matches the Rfam family "tRNA". From Rfam's summary of the family: Transfer RNA (tRNA) molecules are approximately 80 nucleotides in length. Their secondary structure includes four short double-helical elements and three loops (D, anti-codon, and T loops). Further hydrogen bonds mediate the characteristic L-shaped molecular structure. tRNAs have two regions of fundamental functional importance: the anti-codon, which is responsible for specific mRNA codon recognition, and the 3' end, to which the tRNAs corresponding amino acid is attached (by aminoacyl-tRNA synthetases). tRNAs cope with the degeneracy of the genetic code in two manners: having more than one tRNA (with a specific anti-codon) for a particular amino acid; and 'wobble' base-pairing, i.e. permitting non-standard base-pairing at the 3rd anti-codon position. Lineage: Bacteria; Pseudomonadati; Pseudomonadota; Gammaproteobacteria; Pseudomonadales. The record is from RNAcentral. RNAcentral also lists the same sequence under 1 other name.